This 209-nucleotide ribosomal RNA is filed under the name uncultured bacterium. RNAcentral's name for it is "partial 16S ribosomal RNA". It matches the Rfam family "Bacterial small subunit ribosomal RNA", at positions 568 to 774 of the family's 1533-position model. The record is from RNAcentral.
CGCGUAGGCGGACCUUCAAGUCGGGUGUGAAAACUGGCGGCUUAACCCACCAGCCUGCACUCGAUACUGUCGGUCUUGAGUACAGAAGGGGAAAGGUGGAAUUCCAGGUGUAGCGGUGAAAUGCGUAGAUAUCUGGAAGAACACCAGUAGCGAAGGCGACUUUCUGGUCUGAUACUGACGCUAAAGCGCGAAGGCUAGGGUAGCAAACA